UAGCAAUUGGAGGCAUUGCCUGCCAGUGACAACUGUUUAACGGCCGCGGUAUCCUGACCGUGCAAAGGUAGCAUAAUCAUUUGUUCUCUAAAUAAGGACUUGUAUGAAUGGCCGCACGAGGGUUUUACUGUCUCUUACUUCCAAUCAGUGAAAUUGACCUUCCCGUGAAGAGGCGGGAAUGCACAAAUAAGACGAGAAGACCCUAUGGAGCUUUAACUAACCAACCCAAAGAGAAUAGAUUUAACCAUUAAGGAAUAACAACAAUCUCCAUGAGUUGGUAGUUUCGGUUGGGGUGACCUCGGAGAAUAAAAAAUCCUCCGAGCGAUUUUAAAGACUAGACCCACAAGUCAAAUCACUCUAUCGCUCAUUGAUCCAAAAACUUGAUCAACGGAACAAGUUACCCUAGGGAUAACAGCGCAAUCCUAUUCAAGAGUCCAUAUCCACAAUAGGGUUUACGACCUCCAUGUUGGAUCAGGACAUCCUGAUGGUGCAACCGCUAUCAAAGGUUCGUUUGUUCAACGAUUAAAGUCCUACCUGAUCUGAGUUCAGACCGGACGGA
Molecule: ribosomal RNA, 559 nt
Filed under: Phascolosoma esculenta
Lineage: Eukaryota; Metazoa; Annelida; Sipuncula; Phascolosomatiformes; Phascolosomatidae
Description: partial 16S ribosomal RNA
Rfam family: Bacterial large subunit ribosomal RNA
Source: RNAcentral